AAACAGAGCAGCGCAUGUCAAAAGAAGAAAAAGAAAAAAGAACAGAGCAGCCAGUCGCCCCUUCCCGACCCCGUGACGCUAGGGUUCCUAGCCGCCGCCGCUGCAACCGGCCUCCGGUCACCCUCCAGCCAACGACGCCGCCUGGAGCAGCGGUCCCAAGUCAGCCCAGAUGGAAGCCGACGCCGCCUCCUCGCUCAAUCCCCCGGCGCCAGAGGAAGCCUUACAAGAGGAUCCCUCGCCAGUGCGCUUCUACUCCUCCUGCGCGGCUGCCCCUGCGAGUGCGGUGAUGUCUCCCGGAGCAAGGGAGGCGGCGGCGGCGAUGGAGGCAGUGGAGCGAGACGCCGCCGCCAUCGCCGAGAGCUACGCCUCCCUAUUCGCCUCCCUCCGCAUCACACUUUCCAAUGUUACCUCGACGUCAGCGGAUAACAUGGAGUGCUUGGGCGAAGUUGUAGGCCGCCUCCAGGAGUCAGCACUUGAAGCGUCUUCUAGAGGGAAUAAGUACAUCCAUUCGUGCCUGAGGUUAAAUGAGGAAAUGCGAGGCUUGGAAAGCCUAAGUAUGCAGCUAUCAUGCGGAAGAUCGUUGAUUCACUAGAUUUGGCUGUUGAUCGGCUGCUCCACCUCCCGUAGUUCAUGCAUACUAUCAGCAGCUUCUACAAGUGCUGCAGGAACUUCUAAUGAAAUCUUUAUUCACCAAGUAGCUUUCGCAUUUGAAGAGGCAAUCAAGUACUGUAAAUCUUAAGUGGCGUGUACAAGCAACGGAGAAGUUUUCCCCUUCCUCGGCAUGAUGAAAUUCUCCCAACCCUUGACUUUAUUGCUCUUCCUUGUGUGUAUUUGGGAACAAUGAUAUGUAUUUAUUGAGAAAUAACUAUUUGCAACUCUUCCAUCCUUUACCUUCUUGCAUAUUUGUAUCUCGGGUUGUGUUUGUAGAGUGAGUCAUCCAAUGGACACACAAGUUUGUUUUCCUCUGUAAAAAAUAAAAUAAAAAAAUAAACACACUUUAUUUUCAUAA
Molecule: RNA transcript, 1009 nt
Organism: Hordeum vulgare subsp. vulgare (domesticated barley)
Lineage: Eukaryota; Viridiplantae; Streptophyta; Magnoliopsida; Poales; Poaceae
Exons: 7
Source: RefSeq, a predicted model, not a curated record